RNAcentral lists this ribosomal RNA (497 nucleotides) under uncultured bacterium. Its description in RNAcentral is "partial 16S ribosomal RNA". It matches the Rfam family "Bacterial small subunit ribosomal RNA", at positions 28 to 507 of the family's 1533-position model. The record is from RNAcentral.
GAUGAACGCUGGCGGCGUGCCUAAUACAUGCAAGUCGAGCGAACAGACGAGGCGCUUGCUCCUCUGACGUUAGCGGCGGACGUGUGAGUAACACGUGUAUAACCUACCUAUAAGACUGGGAUAACUUCGGGAAACCGGAGCUAAUACCGGAUAAUAUAUUGAACCGCAUGGUUCAAUAGUGAAUGACGGUUUUGCUGUCACUUAUAGACGGAUCCGCGCCGCAUUAGAUAGUUGGUACGGUAACGGCUUACCACGGCAACGAUGCGUAGCCGACCUGAGAGGGUGAUCGGCCACACGGGAACUGGGACACGGUCAAGACGACUACGGGAGGCAGCAGUAGGGAAUCGUAGGCAAUGGGCGAAAACUUGACGGAACAAGGCGGAGUGAGUGAUGAAGGUCUUCGGAGCGUAAAAAUCUGUUAUUAGGGAAAAACAAAUGUGUAAGGAACUAAGCACGUAGUGACGGUAACUGAUCAGAAAGCCACGGUUAACUACGUG